GUGAAAUUGUUGAAAGGGAAACGUUUGACACCAGUCAUGUGGGUGGAAAAUCAGUCUUUUGCAUUGGGGAGUUGUAAAGGUUCGGACCGCAAGGCCGGCUUUUGCUUCAUCUUUGGUGUAAGGGAUGCACUUUUUCAUCUACAGGUCAACAUCAGUUUCUUUUGCUGGACAAAACUCCGAGAGAAGGUAGCAGCUUAGGCUGUGUUAUAGCUCUGGAGCGAUACAGUGAAGGGGACUGAGGUUUUCGCAGCGUGUGCUCUCGGGCAAGGCUGGAUGGGUGCUAUGGGAUCGUUCGGGGUACAAUGCCUGGCAUUUUGCUUCGUGUCUUUUCUAUACUCGCUCAACUUAGCUCUUCCACGCUUAGGAUGUUGACUUAAUGGUUUUAAACGACCCGUCUUGAAACACGGACCAAGGAGUCUAACAUAUAUGCAAGUGUUUGAGUGGCAAACCCAUGCGCGUAAUGAAAGUGAACAUAGGUGCGAUCCGCAAGGUGCAGCAUCUACCGAUCUUGAUAUUUUUGGAUAGAUUUGAGUAAGAGCAUAUAUGCUGGGACCCGAAAGAUGGUGAACUAUGCCUGAAUAGGGUGAAGCCAGAGGAAACUCUGGUGGAGGCUCGUAGCGAUUCUGACGUGCAAAUCGAUCGUCAAAUUUGGGU
RNAcentral lists this ribosomal RNA (654 nucleotides) under uncultured fungus. RNAcentral's name for it is "LSU rRNA". It matches the Rfam family "Eukaryotic large subunit ribosomal RNA", at positions 399 to 916 of the family's 3401-position model. Lineage: Eukaryota; Fungi. The record is from RNAcentral.